UUAUGGUGUUAUGGUCAUUGUUGACCAUACAUAUAAUCCCUACAAUUGCUUUACAGCUUAUGCCGGAAUUAUACGACGGUCAACAGAGACUUUUGAAAUCAAAGA
RNAcentral lists this microRNA precursor (105 nucleotides) under Medicago truncatula (barrel medic). Its description in RNAcentral is "miRNA gene22457". It matches the Rfam family "MIR2587 microRNA precursor family". Lineage: Eukaryota; Viridiplantae; Streptophyta; Magnoliopsida; Fabales; Fabaceae. The record is from RNAcentral.